Molecule: ribosomal RNA, 253 nt
Filed under: uncultured bacterium
Lineage: Bacteria
Description: partial 16S ribosomal RNA
Rfam family: Bacterial small subunit ribosomal RNA
Source: RNAcentral
UACAUAGGGUGCAAGCGUUGUUCGGAUUCAUUGGGCGUAAAGGGUGCGUAGGCGGCGCGGUAAGUCGGGUGUGAAAUCUCGGAGCUUAACUCCGAAACUGCAUUCGAUACUGCCGUGCUUGAGGACUGGAGAGGAGACUGGAAUUUACGGUGUAGCGGUGAAAUGCGUAGAUAUCGUAAGGAAGACCAGUGGCGAAGGCGGGUCUCUGGACAGUUCCUGACGCUGAGGCACGAAGGCCAGGGGAGCAAACGGG